Molecule: ribosomal RNA, 391 nt
Filed under: uncultured bacterium
Lineage: Bacteria
Description: bacterial SSU rRNA
Rfam family: Bacterial small subunit ribosomal RNA
Source: RNAcentral
GAUGAACGCUGGCGGCGUGCUUAACACAUGCAAGUCGAACGAUGAUCCGGUGCUUGCACCGGGGAUUAGUGGCGAACGGGUGAGUAACACGUGAGUAACCUGCCCUUAACUCUGGGAUAAGCCUGGGAAACUGGGUCUAAUACCGGAUAUGACUGGUCAUCGCAUGGUGGUUGGUGGAAAGCUUUAUUGUGGUUUUGGAUGGACUCGCGGCCUAUCAGCUUGUUGGUGAGGUAAUGGCUCACCAAGGCGACGACGGGUAGCCGGCCUGAGAGGGUGACCGGCCACACUGGGACUGAGACACGGCCCAGACUCCUACGGGAGGCAGCAGUGGGGAAUAUUGCACAAUGGGCGCAAGCCUGAUGCAGCGACGCCGCGUGAGGGAUGACGGCCU